GACUGUUCCGGAUGGGUGGGGGACCUGGUAUGGACAAGUAAGGGUAACAUUUCCAACAAAUCUUAAAUGUAAAUAUUAUUAUGUCCAUAGAUUGAAGUUUCAGGUGGAGAGCAAGAUGAAAAAUAUGCCAAAUUACAUGCAUGCAACCCAUUUAUGCCAUUUUUCUCUUUGUUUGUAGGCCUGACCAUUUGUCCUUGAGCCGCAGAUGGUCAACAAUCCGCUAGCUGUCUUGCUCUGACUGGUGCACUGGACAUGAUUUCAAUAGUCAGCCAGACCAUGAUUGAGCUUAAGGAUUGUGCUGCGGAUGCGGCCUGUGCAGUUCCGGGAGAAAGUCACUGUCUUGGCCAAUGCGGUCUGGUAUCAGGUCUGGUUGAUCCUUGCCUGACUGCGGGUUUGUGUACACCUCAAUCCGACUCUGUGUCCUGAACAGAGGCCUCAGUGGUGCAGCGCUUGUGGACGAUCCAUCAACAUCCUGAAAGGUCAACACUUCACCAAGCUGGGAAAAUUGAUCCUGAUAGUCAUCCCCAGAGUCAGCCAGACCAUGAUUGAGCUUAAGGAUUGUACUGCGGAUGCGGCCUGUGCAGUUCCGGGAAAAAGUCACUGUCUUGGCCAAUGCGGUCUGGUAUCAGGUCUGGAUGAUCCUUGCCUGACUGCGGGUUUGUGUACACCUCAAUCCGACUCUGUGUCCUGAACAGAGGCAUCAGUGGUGCAGCGCUUGUGGACGAUCCAUCAACAUCCUGAAAGGUCAACACUUCACCAAGCUGGGAAAAUUGAUCCUGAUAGUCAUCCCCAGGCCUGACCAUUUGUCCUUGAGCCGCAGAUGGUCAACAAUCCGCUAGCUGUCUUGCUCUGACUGGUGCACUGGACAUGAUUUCAAUAGUCAGCCAGACCAUGAUUGAGCUUAAGGAUUGUGCUGCGGAUGCGGCCUGUGCAGUUCCGGGAGAAAGUCACUGUCUUGGCCAAUGCGGUCUGGUAUCAGGUCUGGAUGAUCCUUGCCUGACUGCGGGUUUGUGUACACCUCAAUCCGACUCUGUGUCCUGAACAUAGGCCUCAGUGGUGCAGCGCUUGUGGACGAUCCAUCAACAUCCUGAAAGGUCAACACUUCACCAAGCUGGGAAAAUUGAUCCUGAUAGUCAUCCCCAGGCCUGACCAUUUGUCCUUGAGCCGCAGAUGGUCAACAAUCCGCUAGCUGUCUUGCUCUGACUGGUGCACUGGACAUGAUUUCAAUAGUCAGCCAGACCAUGAUUGAGCUUAAGGAUUGUGCUGCGGAUGCGGCCUGUGCAGUUCCGGGAGAAAGUCACUGUCUUGGCCAAUGCGGUCUGGUAUCAGGUCUGGAUGAUCCUUGCCUGACUGCGGGUUUGUGUACACCUCAAUCCGACUCUGUGUCCUGAACAUAGGCCUCAGUGGUGCAGCGCUUGUGGACGAUCCAUCAACAUCCUGAAAGGUCAACACUUCACCAAGCUGGGAAAAUUGAUCCUGAUAGUCAUCCCCAGAGUCAGCCAGACCAUGAUUGAGCUUAAGGAUUGUGCUGCGGAUGCGGCCUGUGCAGUUCCGGGAGAAAGUCACUGUCUUGGCCAAUGCGGUCUGGUAUCAGGUCUGGAUGAUCCUUGCCUGACUGCGGGUUUGUGUACACCUCAAUCCGACUCUGUGUCCUGAACAUACGCCUCAGUGGUGCAGCGCUUGUGGACGAUCCAUCAAUAUCCUGAAAGGUCUACACUUCACCAAGCUGGGAAAAUUGAUCCUGAUAGUCAUCCCCAGGUAGUGGAAUGAAUGUACACUGAACUACAGAGGAAUCACACCCAAAUGACUUUCCUGCCACGACAUUAGUGUGGCCCCUCGCGUAGGAAUUCCUUAGCAAACAUGCUCUUUUGCAUGGUGACUGUGGGCAUUUUUGCAAAACUUAAGCUUUCAA
Molecule: long non-coding RNA, 1912 nt
Organism: Dreissena polymorpha
Lineage: Eukaryota; Metazoa; Mollusca; Bivalvia; Myida; Dreissenidae
Exons: 13
Source: RefSeq, a predicted model, not a curated record